AAUCAUCUAUUAAUGUACUGAAUAGGUAUUACUUUUGUAUCGGGGGUGUUGUUAACGCAAACUCUGCAUCUCUUUGGAUUUACAGUUGUUUAUAGCAAAAGAAAAAAAUCUUUGUUUUUCUUUUUUCUUCUUUUUAUUUAAACAACAGUGGAAAAGACUCACGUUCGCAAUGCGCAAAGCAUUAGAAAGAUACCGGUGGAAGACGCAGCUCGCGGGCGCCCUUUGCAGAAGAUGCUGGGAAAUGUAGUUCCUGUUGGCCGCGUGCGCAGGCGUACUUCUUGGCUUGGGCACCUCAUCGUACGACAGUGCUCUUUAUUUUUCUGUGGAGCAGCUCUGCUUUCUCAGGUCUCUACUUACUUCUAUAAGAUGGCAUCAAGAAGAAGGACCUGACCACUGGCCCCUGACUACAUGGUCUUUGGAAGGAAGACAGACAUUGGAAGUAGAACAUUGAGGUACAAUGAAUGUAAUGAUGUAACGAGAGGAAAAGUACAAGGUGCUGUGAGUUCAUUUUUGCAGGAACCAGUGGCAUUGGAAGAUGUCAGAGACAUGGCACAUGGAUGUGAUCUUCAAAAACUGUUACAGCCUCAUCUCAUUGGAAUUCCUGAAGACUACUUAGGACAUAAUUCUAGGAUCCAUGGAUGUUAUCUUCCAACUAAGAAGAACCAUAUAAAUAGAUAACAAAGGAAAAAUGGAGAAAUGUCACAAAAUACCAGCCAGGAAAGAAUCAGAUAACGAAAACAACCAAGCAGACAGGAAUCCUUGUAAAUAAGAGUCCAUUUAUCCAUUAUGGUGGUGCUAGUAACAAUAGUGGUACUAGGAGAUAGCUUUUGAAAUGUUGAUUAGGGUCCUCUGUGCAGAGCCCCUCAUCUGUAUUUUAAAAACCUGCAUUCAUCCAGUAGAAGCAACAGCAACCUCAUUUCUAUAUAACUUUAUCUAUCUUCUCACAUAUCUCUUGAUCUCAGAGGAAGAUUGGCCCUCUUCCGUUGUUAGUCUUUCCAUUCUGUACUUCAGAUUCCAUUAUUUUUUACUUAUUUUAGGGCCUGAUUUAAUGACUGUUUUAUGAUUCAGUCUCUCCAGUUCACCAGCUCCUUUCCUUCAAGACAUUAAAAAGGUUUUCUUGCUUUUAAAAUAACAUGUUGCCUAAACAUUUUUUAUCUGCCUUUCAAAAUUAUUCUGUCAUUACCAAAUGUUUCAAACUUGUAACUAAUAUCCUCAAUUCCUGUUCUCUUUUAAUCUUUGGAGUUAGAUUCUUGUCUUCUGCUAAAAUUAUUUUGAGGAGAUUCUUGAAUUCUUUCUUGAUAGCAACCUAUUCUUAGUCCUGUGUUCAGACUUUCUGCCGUGUUUGAUAUUUUGUUUUACCUUGUGUGACAUCACCAGAUUCUUUUCCAUUCUAAUCUUUUUCCAAAUGCUUUUUUGUUAACUUCACUUGCUCCCUAACAUAAACGCAUGUGCCUUUAUGGUUUAUUUUCUACUUGUUUGUUUUUUAUCUCAAAAAGUUAGUGCAUUCUGACAUCCUCGAAUAGUCCUUCUAUGUUAACUUUCUUAUAUGUAUUUUUUCAACUUAAGUGUUUCACUUACAUUCUAUCCCCAUAUAUUCCCCUGCUUAAAGUUUAUCUCCAUUAGAAUGUCCUACUUCACUUUCAAUCACUUUAACCUCAAUAUGGUGAAAGUAAAAUCACCAACUUUCCCUAGGUUGCCUGUCUUUCCUUUUCUAUCAUUAGUACAACUAUUCUUCCAGCCUUCUUGGCUAGAAACCAUUGUAUCUUUAUGAAUCUUGUUUUGUAAAAAUUCCCUAUAAUCUAGUUCAGCAUUUUUUGUUGCUUCUUUUUAAUGUCUUAUCUACACUUACACCAAAUUCUUACUAGUAUUAUCCCAAUCCAGGCUCAUAUUAUUCAUAUUAUGCCUUCUUGCUAAGUUUCACCAUUGUUCUUUUAUCCAUUUUAGAUAGAAUUAACAAGCUUUUAAUCUAAAACGUCACAUCUAAGAUAUAUUUAUCCUGUUAAUGUUCUGACAGAAAACUUUAGUUUUCCUGUCUCCUGCUAGAUGACAUUGAAUUUCUCUGUUUAAAGUGUGAGAGUUUUUUAUUAUCUGAUCCUAUUUCACUUUUCUGGAUUUUUUCCUCUGGUUUCCAAAAACAUACAUACAUUUGAAUUAGUUCCAUUGUCUUUUAUUCACAACAUUUAUUUUACUGAAUCGUUACCUUUGAUUUUAUUAUGCACUUUGUCUCAAUGCUUCCAUUUCUUUUACCACACUUAUUGUGAUAGCAUACGAAAUACAUCUGGUCUUUGUUUCCAAUUCUUGUCACAGAGCUUUGAAAGCCCUCCAAAUUUCCUAAGUGAUAGGAAUAUAUUUUGUUUUUCAUAGUACACCUUUAAAAAAAAAAAAAAAAGGUGUAUUAUGAUGAGUUUAUGAUGAGUUUAUGUUGAUGAGGUGAAAUAGGGUAGGGCCCCUAGAUAGCCUCAAUAGUGGGUCUGAUCACUAAAAAGACCAAGCAACUAGAGGGUUAGAACUUUCAAUUCCACCCACCAACCUCUGGGAAGAAAGAUGUGGGGAUGGAGAUUAAGCUCUAUACAAACUCUUAAACAGUGAUAUUUGAUGAGCUUCUAGAUUGGUCAACACAUCAAGGUGCUGGAAGUAUAGCAUGCCCAGAGAUGAUGCAGAAGCUCUAUACCCCUUUCCCUUCUGCCCACCUUGCACUGUGCAUCUCUUCCUGAAUGGCUUUUUCUGAAUUGUAGCCUUUAUAAUAAACUGGUAAAUGUAAGUAAAGUGUUUUCCUGAGUUCUGUGAGCCAUU
Molecule: long non-coding RNA, 2793 nt
Organism: Rhinopithecus bieti (black snub-nosed monkey)
Lineage: Eukaryota; Metazoa; Chordata; Mammalia; Primates; Cercopithecidae
Source: Ensembl